Molecule: small nucleolar RNA, 127 nt
Filed under: Leptosomus discolor (cuckoo roller)
Lineage: Eukaryota; Metazoa; Chordata; Aves; Leptosomiformes; Leptosomidae
Description: Small nucleolar RNA SNORA17
Rfam family: Small nucleolar RNA SNORA17
About the family: snoRNA ACA 17 belongs to the H/ACA family of snoRNAs and is predicted to guide pseudouridylation of the 28S rRNA at positions U4659 and U4598.
Source: Rfam by way of RNAcentral
AUAGUCUCUAAGAGUGUUUCAGUAAGUUUUACAUCAUUUGUGAAUUAAAAGAUGGUUAAGAAAAGAAGGGCUUAUCUGUAGUCAUCUUGAAUUCUUUUUCAUGGGCAAAUAAAUAGUGCCCUAAAUA